UUUAUUGUGGGAGGAGGGUAGACUAUCUUUGAUUAUGCGUCAAUUGCUUAUACCUGGUAAAAGAAGGUUGGGUUAGGAAUGAUUCUGAAUAGAAAAGUAAGAACUGUUUUAUCCAAAGAAGGAAUUUCACUCUACACCUACGUGGGGUGACUCCUGACAUAAAAAAAGUGGUUGGGUUUUGACUAGAAGCAAAAGAAGAUGGGACAGACUGUAGGGAAGACCAUGCAGAAGCAGCAAGAAAAGACAAUGUUUCCUUUUUCCUCUCUGACAUGGACAUUACUGGUGGUAUCUGCAUUCAUAGAACUUUGAAAGGCAGACAAUUCCUAGAAAAAUCUUGAGUUUGUGAAUCCUCAAAACACACUCUCAGUGAGGAAAUAUUAUUGGGCUGAAAAAGUUCAUUUACAGAUGAUGGGGAUAUAUGCAAAGCCGACAGAGACAUUCAGAGCUGUUAUAACAGACAGCAGAAGUCAAGAGGCAAUAACUGCAGCUGAGAACUUCGGUGAUCAGGGUCAGUACAGGGCAUCUACGGACUUAGCCACAAAGUUUCAAUUUUGGUGUAAAUUCUUUAGUUUGGGAAUGCUGAGACAUGGUCUCUUGUUGGUUCACUUAAUUAUAUAAUGAACAGCUGUGAAGUUUUUAUUUGGAUUAAAAUUUCCCUGGAACUCAAGGUAAUUUAGAUCUGAGCUUUUGGCUCCAGUCCCUUCCCAGCUUGUACUCAAUAUAAAUUACUGCCCUAGAACCAUGACAUGUUCAAUUUAUCCUCCAUUUUAGAUGGCUGAAAAGUGCAUGCAUAAUUCUGUGCAUACCACACUUUCUGUAAUCUACUGUGACAAAUAGACCAAAUGACUGAAACUGCUAGGUAAGACACUUUAUUUUAGUCACGAACCCACACCCAGCCUUAGUUUAAAUACCAGGCAAAAAUGACAUUUGAAUUAUUUGAUUUGAAUCAAUGCCAAAUUCAAUCUUAUGCAAACUCAGAAAGAGAGAGGGAAAAAAAGUCUUGGAAUAAACCCAGUGAUUUAUGCAUGGGAACAUAAGGCAAUAACAAACAGCAAUCGAUUCAAUUGUAAUGACAGGAGUGGACCACCAUGAAAAAUCUGACAACUUUUCAUUGGAGCUACUGUGACUGAGGGGUUUGGAACAGGGUGAUAUUUUUACACAUGGAAAAUGACUACAAGAAAAGUAGACCCGGGGACCAGCAUUCCCAAUCCCACCUUCUACCAAAAAUGCUGGUCAAGCUCUGUAUGCCAUGCUCCACUCACACUGCUGUGAGGUUCUCCUUUGCCCAGUACAAUGGGGGAUGACAAAUAUUCCCAUUCCAGAGAGAAAAAUAGAAAAUAGUUAUAUCGCAUCUAUCUGAGAGAAAUAUCUAUAUUUUCAUGAUCUAAUUCCAAAUAACUAUGUUAAAUUAAGAGCUGUACUGAGAAAUUAUGAACCUUGGUGUUGAGUUUUGAUCUUCUAGGUCAGUCCGAUUUGCCCGUUAGUGCCAUGAGGCACAGGGAGGUAGAGUCACCUGAACAUCCCCCACGGAGAAAGCAGGACUGCCUACAGUUUUGUCAGUGUUACACAUCCCACAGGGAUAAUGCUUUCCAGGAUUAUUUUAUACUCUGGAGUAUUACUGUUUUUCUUAGGGCUUUCUUUACUGUGUAGCAACCUUUGUAAUAAAGCUAUGUUUGCAUAAGCAAACGCUAGGGGUUCAGUUCAGAAAGGCAGCCAAGACAACUUUUUAGCUAUACCUACUAAUUCCAACAUUCAACUCAACCCGAGAAGAGAGACUGGGGGGUAGCUGCCUAGACAGUUUGUUACUGCAGUUCUCUUUGGCCACUUGUACCCAGAGAGACUCUGACUAAGCUUUCUCUGAAGCAAUUUCUCUAAGCAAUUUUGUCCUCAGCCCGGGACCUAUCCUCUAAUUUGAUGCCUCUCAGUGGAAAUUUUUUUCCUCUGAAUUGCCAUGCCAAACAGUUGUCUGCUUUGUUGUUUUUUUCAUAGGAAGGCACCUGUUCAAUUUUAGAUACUGUUCAGCCUGUUCCACUUCAGUGGCCUGCACUACUCCUCUGAGAGCCCUGAGCUUUUCACAUAUUUCAGGCUGCCAGGUCUCUUAUGUGCUUUUCCCCAGCAGCCAAUUUUGCUCUGAAGCUCUCACGACUGAGCCAACUUCCAUUCCUUCAUAAAGGGAUACCCUCUUGUUAUUGCAAUUGAGGAGUUCCAUAAGAGGCUUUUAAUGUCUCCAGAGUGUUGUUAUGUACGAUAAAAUCUUGAAUUAAGCUUUACCUAACACUUGUUCAUGCAAUAUUCAUUUAUUGGCAAAUUGCAUUUGAUUCUGCUGUUGACAAAUACUUUUAGGUUUAUUUCUAAUACCACAAGUACAUGAUCAGAUUAAUAUAUGACUGAAUAACACAUUAUAUGCUCUGUUUGAGUAGCAGGAGUACUUGAAGCCUGAAUUCACUACAACGUACACUGCCAUCUUGUGUUCUGAAGUUCUAGAUAAUAUGGAAAUGCACACUCUACAUACAGCUUUUCACGAAUAGGAGUUGGCCAUAUGAGUGGAAUAUGCAAGAUUAUCAAAAGAUGUUUACUGUCAUUUUCUUUUCUUUCUUGUAAAAUAUGAAACAGUCCUCAAAAGAGCAAGUCUCACUGGUAACUCUGAAUUAAUUUCUUCUAAGGAUCCGUUCCAUUUAAUUAGUGAUUUACAGGUAGCCCAGUUAAAAAAAGACUACGGAGAAAAUUCUGCUACAGCCGAACCCUUCUCUUUUUUCCAGCAAUAAGGUCCAAUAUGGACUCCAAGGAACAGGUCUGUUGCAAGGCAGCCUCUGAGCUGGUGUAGAGUUGGCAGAGGAGUUGUAUGCCAAAUGUUUCUCUUCUCUAAAAAGGGCAUAUGAUAGAAAAGAGGGAAGAUUUGUAUUUAUUCUUACCUGGAAUCUCUGUCCCUUUAGAACAGCUGUAGUCUGAACAUAACUAGGUCAUCCCUGAGGCUGUUCCAGUAUGCACCAGAGUACUGGUCACUUGGUUGAAAGAGGACCUAAAGUGACAUUUACUUACAAAGUUAAGAAAGCGAAUCUAACCUCUCUGCCUGUGGUAUUUAUUCAAAACUGGAUUCCAAAUAUAAAACCAAUAACACAUAUUGGUGAAUGAAAUAAGAACUGCAUGCUGUUCAUCUAAAAAUGAUUGUUCCUUCAUAAUUUGCUAAUCAAAGAAAUCUUUUUGUACAUGCUUACUUCCAAUUGCUUUCACUGUAUAACAGUGUUUAGCUCUGCCUUCUUAUUAUGUUUUUAUUAAUUCCAGCUUCUUUCUACAUUUGUUUACUAUUGCGAACAUGUAGGAGCACUCCUAAACACAGCUUUGAACAAUGGCUCUGUAAAACCCAAAGGAUUUAUUCCAUGCAGCUGGUGUUGCCUGAAACAGGCAUAAGCAUGAAAGGGAAAAGGGUGCCAAAAAUAAAAUACUAAACUUAGAGACACCUGGGGCAGGGUGGGAAACAGUGAAAGCAUAUCAAGGUAACAGCUGCCAAGGUAGAAGGGCAGAAUGGCAGAGAACAUUAGCAGGGGAGAGAAAUGCAUUUGGCCUUUCUUGCUCAAAAGUUCCCCUCAGGUGAGUUGCUUUCUGUGCCAGAUACCUUUCAUUCCACCUGUUUGGCAUUUCUUAGCCUGUUUGCACAUACUUUUGUAUGUGAACUUAUAGUAUAAUUUGCCACCUCUGAAAGGCAAAUGCUUAUUGCACCCAUUAUUGACUGGUGCAGGCACUGUCUCCCAAGGUUACUUUUUAUGGCUUACCUGCAUAAUAUACCAUGGCACAGAGUUUAAACAAUCUCUCCCUUGUGAAAUAAGCAGUUGGAAUGACUCAAAAGAGCUUUUGCUCCUGUAACGAUACUUUGAUAAUACUUUACUGCUUUUUAAACUUGUCUUCAAAAGGCAACAUGUGUAUUGUGGUCUGGUUGCAAAACCUCCUCUUUCAGUAAGAGGAGAACAUUAAAACUGUUCAUACAACAUAUUGCAGUCAAUGGUUAAGUAAUGCAAAAAGCUUAUUGAAAAGGACUUUGUCAUUUCAAAAUCUGGAAUACCUUGCUAAGAUUGUUAAUGCUAUUUUAUUUACUUUAUCUGCCUGCAAGGUUCUUGCCCGUUUUCUUAGUUUUCUACCAUAGAGUCAUACUUUCUUAAUGUAUAUUCUUUGCUGUGUUGCCAUCCAAGAGAUUUUCAGAAAGAAAAAGCUAAUUGGCUACAUAUGAAGAAAAUAAAACAGUGACUCAAAUUAUGCUAGAAAUUAUAUCAAAUAAAGCAGGAAACUGUCUUCUGUAAUCUCUGUACUACAGUCAUUUUUGACAGGGUGUACAUAUACCUCCCUGGUGAUUGAAUAGCGCUGGCUGUAAUAGUUACAGGAAAAGCAAAAGAGGGAAAACUACUGUAAACAGAGCAGGUCUGGGAGGGGAGCUGAUGUCUACUGUGCCCUCGGUUCCUGGUGACGUGGGUCAACAAAGCCUGUGACUGUGGUCAGUCUAAGCCUCUUAAGCACCCCAUGCUCCAGCUUUUAAGCAUCUGCCAACAGUUGCCAUACUGUGUUAGACUGCAUAAGUCCUAGCAAUGGAUGAAAGUUUGUUGUUUCCGUUCCUAGUUUGUUUUCCAUUAGCUAGUUAAUUUUGGCAUUGUGAGACCUUUACCAAUGCUAGAAGAUGCCCGUCCAUCAGCCUGCCUAUGCUGGUAACUACCUACUGCCUGAAAGUUGAUGGUGGGAGUGAAAACAUUAGGGCUAAGUCUAACCAUGUGAAUUGCACCUAUCCCUUCCAGAUAAGUAACUGUGCAUUGCAGUACCACAUCUGAGCUGCUGGGUUAAUCCUGAAUGUGAACUUUGGAGAAAAUACUAGCUCAAGUUUAGACUUUCACAUUCCCAUCUAGAAGCUCCCUCCAACAACCUAAAGUCACAGGCAUUAGGCAGAACUGCAACCACGGGGUGCAGCUGGGUCCAGCUAAACCUGCAAUGUCCUUGAGAACAGCAACAAACUUCCAGAGAAAGGACAAGAUUUCAGGGUACAGCUUCAGACUCGGCAGUCCAGGAUGUGAGGCGGGGAUGUCCGUCCUGGCUGGGGACUCCAGGAACCACUGCCUGCUCUGCCUGGCCUGUGCUGUGACUACCUGCAGGAAUUUGCAGGGCUGAGAAUGCUACAUCAAAACCUCACCACAGAGGUGCUGAUUCGAAUCACUUCGUCACAGUUCAGCACUCCAGAAUCCUGGGAGGUGCUUGUGCGCAGGGGCUGCUGACUCCAGAGUCUUGCUCCAAUGUUUAGUACAUUUUAAAGAGUUCUGGGGGCAGUGUACAAGGUGGGGCAAAACUGAAGCACUUAGACCCAGUCCAGGAAAAGGAGAAUGGAAAUGAGGUGCGGCAGCUGCGUGCUUCUGCCCAAACCAAAAUGCAAAUGCUACAGUACUGGCAUAAUGAUAAUUUAGCUGAAUGUAAACCAGGAAAUCCCUCCCUUUCUGCUGUGGUUAGCCAUGAGUACACUGCCACGUGGUGGAUGGUACUUACCAGCCUGUGGCUAAGUUCCCUGUUCACAGCUCUGUGCCUCCAGUUCCUCUUUUGGUGACAGAAUUCCCCCUUCCCAUUACUCCUUGAGGAGUACUCCCGUUCCUUGAGGAACAGCAGAGUUACAAAAGAAACAUGGUACAAGGAUACAGAAGAUCUUGUGUUCAUGUUCAUGGCAUUGGUAGUCUCCUUCUGAAGCUUUCUGUGGCACAAGCACAUAAAAAGCCAUUGCUGGGUAUUCAGUUUGCCUCCAUUAUCUUGCCAUAUAAUUGCUUAGGGUGCUUGAUCCCCUCUUGGCACAGCACAUGAAGAGACCAUUAAAUGCCUACUACCACCACCUGUUUCUGUCUACGCUCUGCUUGACUUUAAUCUGUUCUCAUCAUCUUUGCAUGUAUUCUUAAAUGUCUUUCUAAACUUAGGAUCCUGAAGUAUGUACCUCAAAAUGAAGGUGAAUGGUAUUAGUCCCCUAGAUCUACUUAGUGCAUACAGGGAAAGCAGCUUUGAUUUGUCAGAAGGCACCUCUGAUUUGGCAGUGCAGAGGGAAGCUGGGACAAACUAGAAGGAAUAAUAGAGUAUUGCAGGAAACUUUGGGGAACAGACUAAAAGGGAAGUGAAUAUCACUGAGGGCUGAACAAAUAUACAAGUACAGUGGACUGGGAGAACAGUGGCUCUCUGGAUAAGAGUGCAUGCUGCUUAGUGCAUAAACUGCAAAUCUGCUGCAGGACAUCAGGACAUAGCUUAACCCAUUACCCAGCAGACCUUAAUGGCAGGGAUAGUAUUCACUCUUAGCUGUGUGUUGAAAGACUCUGGAUCUGAAUUAUAAAAGCAUAUGGUUGCCUGCAUAUGUCAGAACAAAUGCAGAGGCUACAGAGUAGUUGUAUUCUGUCUACCAUUUUCACAAAGCACCAAUCAUGCACUGGGAAAUUCAGAUGUUUAAUAAAAUUCUCUCUUAUGAGUUAUAAAAUCUUAACUUUCCAUUAGUAGCUACCUUUACAGGACAAUUGUACUAUUGUGUGGGAGAUAAUUAUGGAGUAAUAUAAGAUCAUAUGGGGAUAAUAUAAGUACUGUUGAGACAGAAUUAAUAGUUUUAAUCUAAGCUGUAGAUGUUUCAUUCUGCUUUGACAUCUAGUUCCCUCAAGAUCACGGAAAAACCUAUAAUUUUAGGCAAAGGAGAAAAAGAAAGAUCAAUUUUUUCAUGUGAAAAGUGACCAAAACAAUGGCACCAUGUGAAGGGCACCCUAAAAGUAGAAUCAAACACUUCAGUCAAAUACAGCUCACGCUUAAAGAGUGUUUUGUUCAUUUUAAAGGUCAUAUGAUUAUUUGUCAGCCUCCAUUCGGGAACAGUUUUUGCAUGGUCUAUUCAAACACGCUGCCUGUCCCAAAUACGGUGUUUACGCAAUUACAUUGCUUAAUUGUGUGUCUGAUGUUGCAUACCUUGGUAUUCCCUAGAGCAUACCCAGGUAAUUGUCUUAAAAUGUAAUAGACUCUAGAAGAAAUUAUUCCCUCUCAUUAAACUCCGA
Non-coding RNA from Phalacrocorax carbo (great cormorant), 7031 nucleotides. The record is from RefSeq and is a predicted model, not a curated record. Lineage: Eukaryota; Metazoa; Chordata; Aves; Suliformes; Phalacrocoracidae.